Fundulus heteroclitus (mummichog) is the source of this 726-nucleotide long non-coding RNA. RefSeq lists it as uncharacterized. The transcript is spliced from 3 exons. The record is from RefSeq and is a predicted model, not a curated record. NCBI's taxonomy places the organism in Eukaryota, Metazoa, Chordata, Actinopteri, Cyprinodontiformes, Fundulidae.
CUGAAGAUCACUCCGCGGUUUCCAGACUUCUCGCGUUCGUUACGUCAUGAAGCCGGGGACUUUCCCAUUAUCCAGAGACCCGGGGCUGUUUGCGUCAGCGGCGAGAGCCUGGUCGACAGGGUGUGUGCGUUAACGGCUAAGCAGAGAUGCAGAGAAACCCUGCAAGGAAACCAGAACGAAAAAGCAACAGGAAACAGCAAAGAGAUGAGAACGCUCAAAGGUGCUCAACCAUAUUAAACCCGAACAAGGUUGCAGAAGUCACCUGACGUCUCCUAAACAGCAAUUCAGACAGAUCUUUGGAGGAUAUUUUUUCCACUCAAGGGAAUGGAAUUGGAUUGUUUAAUAUUUAAUGAUAAUUUGUUCACGUUAAACCUUGUAGCAUGAGCUGCUAAACCAACACUGAGUCAGUGAAUUAAAACUAGAGCAUGGACAAGCGUUGAGUCAUCUGCCAAUAUUGUCUGUCAGAGAGAAAGCUGCUUAUUAGAGGUGUGUGCAGCUCAUUCCUGAGCUAGAGUGGCCCAAACGGGACUGGAUGCAGUGGAGCCUGCUGAGCACCAGCAGCAACAAUAAGACACCAGAUAAUCAGCUUGAUGGAAACUGCACACGGCUCAAGCCGAUGAGUAUUUCAAACCGAAUAAUUGUUGGUCUGGCAAGUGCUUUACCUGAAGUCUCCAUCUGAUCUGUAAUGGCAGUGGUUUUUACAUCUUAUAAACCUAAAAUGUUUUA